CAAGGAGUUGUAGAAGGCCUAGAGGACAGUGAUUAGACCAUUUGGAGAGGAAGGGAAAGGAGAAAGAGAUAGAAACAUCAAUGAGGAGAGAGAAUCAUCUAUUGGCUGCCUCCUGUGUGCGCCACACUGGGGAUCAAGCCCACAUCCCAGGGUUUUCUACUUAUAAGAUUAUAUCAUCUGCAAAUAGAGAUAAUUUUACAUUAUCCUUUGGAUGCCUCUAUUUCUUUUUCUUGCCAAAUUGCUCUGGCUAGGAGAACCAAGAUGGCAGCAUAAAGAAUAAUAGAGAAUAAUAUACAGAGAGUCAACAGUAGACUAGAGGAUCCCAAGAAUCAAGUCAAAGAUUUGAAAUACGAGGAAGCAAAAAACACCCAACCGGAAAAGAAAAAAGAAAAAAUAAUUCAAAAAUAUGAAGAUAGUGUAAGGAGCCUCUGGGACAACUUCAAGCGUACCAACAUCCGAAUUAUGGGGGUGCCAGAAGAAGAAAGAGAGCAAGAUAUUGAAAACCUAUUUGAAGAAAUAAUGACAGAAAUCUUCCCCUACCUGGUGAAAGAAAUAGACUUACAAGUCCAGGAAGCACAAAGAUCCCCAAACAAAAGGAAUCCAAAGAGAACCACCCCAAGACACAUCAUAAUUAAAAUGCCAAGGGAAAAAAACAAAGAGAGAAUCCAAAAAGCAGCAAGAGAAAAACAGUUAUGUACAAGGGAGUACCCAUAUGACUGUCAGCUGAUUUCUCAACAGAAGCUAUGCAGGCCAGAAGGGGGUGGCCCUAACCAGUUUGGCUCAGUGGAUAGAGCUUCGGCCUGCAGACUUAGGGUCCCAGGUUUGAUUCCUGUCAAGGGCAUGUGCCUUGGUUGUGGGCACAUCCCCAGUAGAAGGUGUGGCAGGAGGCAGCUGAUCGAUGUUUCUCUCUCAUUGAUGUUUCUAGCUCUCUAUCCCUUUCCCUUCCUCUCUGUAAGAAAUCAAUAAAAAAUAUAUAUCUAAAAAAAAAAGAAAUAUUCAAAGUGAUGAAUAGUAAGAACCUACAACCAAGAUUACUCUGCCCAGCAAAACUAUCAUUUAGAAUUGAAGUUCAGAUAAAUAGCUUCACAGACAAGAAAAAGCUAAAGGGGUUCAUUACCACCAAACCAGUAUUAUAUGAAAUGCUGAAGGGUAUUCUUUAAGAAGAGGAACAGGAAGGAAAAGGUAAAGAUAAAAAAUUAUGAACAAAGUGACAACAAAUACAUAUCAACAAGUGAAUCUAAAAAUCAAACAAAUAAAAAAUCUGAUGAACAGAAUAAACUGGUGAAUGUAAUAGAAUCAGGGGCAUGGAAAGGGAGCGGAUUGACAAUUCUCAGGGGGAAGAGGGCGUAGGGGUGUGUGGGAAGAGUUGGACAAAGAUCUUACACCUAUG
This is a long non-coding RNA of Myotis daubentonii (Daubenton's bat), 1390 nucleotides long. RefSeq lists it as uncharacterized. NCBI's taxonomy places the organism in Eukaryota, Metazoa, Chordata, Mammalia, Chiroptera, Vespertilionidae. The record is from RefSeq and is a predicted model, not a curated record.